UACAGAGGGUGCAAGCGUUGUUCGGAAUUAUUGGGCGUAAAGGGCGCGUAGGCGGUGCGGUAAGUCCGCAGUGAAAUCUCGGGGCUCAACCCCGAGCGGUCAUGAGAAACUGGCAGGCUAGAGUGCGGGAGAGGAGAGUGGAAUUCCUGGUGUAGCGGUGAAAUGCGCAGAUAUCAGGAGGAACACCAGUAGCGAAGGCGGCACUCUGGGCCGGUACUGACGCUGAGGAGCGAAAGCGUGGGGAGCGAACAGG
This 253-nucleotide ribosomal RNA is filed under the name uncultured bacterium. RNAcentral describes it as "partial 16S ribosomal RNA". It matches the Rfam family "Bacterial small subunit ribosomal RNA", at positions 524 to 776 of the family's 1533-position model. The record is from RNAcentral.